Bubalus bubalis (water buffalo) is the source of this 362-nucleotide long non-coding RNA. RefSeq lists it as uncharacterized. The record is from RefSeq and is a predicted model, not a curated record. The transcript is spliced from 2 exons. NCBI's taxonomy places the organism in Eukaryota, Metazoa, Chordata, Mammalia, Artiodactyla, Bovidae.
GCAUGUGAACUCUUAGUUGCAAUAUGUGGGAUCUAGUUCCCUGACCAAGGAUUGAACCCAGGUCCCCUGCAUUGGGAGCGUGGAGUUUUAGCUGCUGGACCAGCAGCACAUCUGUACCUGAGUACUGGAAAAAAAUGCUGGGCUGGAUGAAGUACAAACUGGAAUCAAGAUCGCUGGGAGAAAUUUCAAUAACCUCAGAUACGCAGAUGACACCACCCUUAUGGCAGAAGGUGAAGAACUAAAGAGCCUCUAUUAACAUUUUUAUGUUUCUAAAAACAUUUUCUGUUGCCUUGUAAAGCAUUCCAAACACAUUUGACUUUCAAACCACGACGAUAAUGAUAAACACUGUGUUAUGGAUUGAA